AUGGCGGGCGGCGACAGCUUGGGCUGCUGCGGCGGCCUUCUUCAGGGUUUCUGCGGCCUCGCUCAGGUUUUCCUGGCUCCCCGGGGGCGUCCGUCUGCUGGAAUCCUCGCCAGGAGGCCCGGCGAUCUGUGCUCGAGUUCUUCUCAGGCUGGGAGAACGGGGUCGCCGCGGGAUGCGGAGAUCAUCUCCGACAUGGAGUACUCUCCCCAAGUGGCCAGGGAGCUGCUAUUCUCUUAUUAUCAGGAGGAGGACCUGCCCCGCGUGGCCAGGAACCCGCCGGCGGUGGCGGGCGAUCUGUGCACGAGUUCUUCUCAGCUUUGGAGAACGGGGUCGCCGCGGGAUGUGGGGGUCAGCUCCGGCAUGGAGGAGUCUCCCCCAGUGGACAGGGAGCUGCGUUUUGAUGACCAGGAGGAGGACCUGUCCCCCGUGGCCAGGAACUCGCCGGCGGCGGCGGGCGAUCUGUGCUCGAGUUCUUCUAUGGUUGGGAGCACGGGGUCGUCUCGGGAUGUGGCGGGCGAUCCGUGCUCGUGUUCUUCUAUGGUUGGGUGGACAUCGUGGGAUAUGGAGAUCAUGAUGGACAUGGAGUAUUCUCUCCCGGUGGCCAGGAAUUCGCCGGCGGUGGCGCCACCGCAGCAGAAGGGCAUGGCCGGUGGCGCUGAAGACGACGACGACGAUGAUGACUGCGUGAUUCUAGACAGUGAUCCUUUCGCCGCGGUCGCCGUGAAUGAUGAGAAGGAUGGCUGCUCGGAUGAGGAGUUGCAGAUAGUCGCGGAGAAAGGCAAGGUAGCAUGCCGUGACUUCCCUCACUCGCGCCAUUUAUGUUCCAAUAUGCCCUUCGGCGCUACCUCUCACGAGAAGCAUUGUGCCAUGUGCUACUGUUUUGUGUGCGACGCCCCAGCUCCAUGCAGUUAUUGGGGUAACGGUCUCUCGGUUGGCGAUCAUUGUCAUGCUACGGAUAAGGAAACCAAAUGGAAAAUGCUGAGGGAGGCAUUCAGGUGCAAAAAUCUUCCAGCGCCUCAUCCAGAAACAGAAACUGCUGUGCACCCAGCAAUGGUGUCACUCGACCGCCUUUUUCUUAGCAAUCAGAUUUCUCUUCAGGAUGUUGUGACCCAAAACCAACACACACAUACUUCAGUUAGAGCCUCACUGAGUGUAGCACCGACUGUCAAUGCGCCAAGAGAGGGAAGUGGUACAAGCAGUGCUCACACUGCUCAAGUUACUCGCCUAGGAGAGCCAACUGUCAGUGCACCAAGGGCACACCCUGUGGCAGGAGCUGGAAGAGGUACAAGCAACGCUCACACUGCUCAAGUUUCUGCGCCAAGAGCAUCCUCUGCAACAGGAGUUGGAAGAAGUGGUACCAGCAAUGCCCACAGUGCUCAAGUUACUCGCCUAGUACAGCCGACUGUCAGUGCACCAAGGCCACAGCCUGCAGCAGGAGCUGGAAGAGGUACAAGCAGCACUCACACUGCUCAAAUUACUCACCCAGUAGAGCCAACUGUCAGUGCAGCAAGAGCAUACUCUGCAGCAAGAACUGGAAGAGGUACUAGCAGUGCUCAGUCUGCUCAAAUUACUCACCCAGUAGAGCCAACUGUCAGUGCAGCAAGAGCAUACUCUGCAGCAAGAACUGGAAGAGGUACUAGCAGUGCUCAGUCUGCUCAAAUUACUCGCCCCGUGGAGCAAACUGUCAGUGCACCAAGAGUAUACCCUGCGGCAGGAGCUUCAAGCAAUGCUCGCUCUGCUCAAAUUACUUACCCCACCACUCCAGGUGGCUACCUGCCGGAGCCCAAUGUGCCGGAGGGGGCCACGGUGUACGUCGGGAACCUACCCUACCACAUUGACAAUGAGAGACUCAAGCUAAGCUUCCAACGUGCUGGGGCCGUCCUGUUCUCAAAGGUCAUUUACGACAGAGAAACAGGCCAGAGCCGUGGAUUUGGGUUUGUCACCAUGAAUACUGUUCAGGAGGCUGAGAAGGCUGUGACGAUCUAUCAUGGCUCUGGGAUGUAUGGCAGGCCUCUGACUGUAAAAAUCGCAGCUCCUAGAGGGGACGCCCGGGUGGACGCCCCUCGCCGUCAACCUGGUUCCCCACUCAGAAUAUUCGUAUGCAAUCUACCGAGUCAGGUGGACAACCCUCGGCUGGAGGAGCUGUUCAGCAAGCAUGGCAAAGUGGUUGAUGCAAGAGUUGUCUACGAGCGCCGAGAAGGGGCCUCGUGUUCGAGGGGAUUUGGUUUUGUCACAAUGGCGACCGGCGAGGAGUCGUACAAGGCGAUACGUGCCCUCAACAAGCAGAUUCUGGAGGGAAAUGCCCUUGGAGUGAAGGUUGCAAGGGAGCGGCCGAACCAAGGCUGCCUCUCUCUUGGCAACCAGAUUCCUCCUGAGAAUACUGCCAGUCAAAACCAACAUGCACAUACUUCGGUUGGAGCCUCACUGAAUGUAGUGCCAACUAUCAGUGCGCCAAGAGCAUACCGUGCAACAGGAGCUAGAAGUAGUACAAGCAAUGUUUCCACUGCUCAAGUUACUCGCCGACUAGAUCCAACUGUCAGUUCACCAAGAUCGGGUGAAUAUAGGAUGCUCGGUCCCUCUAGUUGA
This 2586-nucleotide ribosomal RNA is filed under the name Triticum aestivum (bread wheat). RNAcentral's name for it is "partial small subunit ribosomal RNA". Lineage: Eukaryota; Viridiplantae; Streptophyta; Magnoliopsida; Poales; Poaceae. The record is from RNAcentral.